GUCAGCAGCCGCGGGAACACCGGCAGCUCUAGUGGUAGCUGUUUUAUUGGGCCUAAAGCGUUCGUAGCCGGUUUAAUAAGUCUCUGGUGAAAUCCUAUAGCUUAACUGUGGGAAUUGCUGGAGAUACUAUUAGACUUGAGAUCGGGAGGGGUCAGAGGUACUCCUGGGGUAGGGGUGAAAUCCUGUAAUCCUAGGAGGACCACCUGUGGCGAAGGCGUCUGACUAGAACGAAUCUGACGGUGAGGAACGAAAGCUAGGGGCGCGAACCGGAUUAGAUACCCGGGUAGUCCUAGCCGUAAACUAUGCGGACUUGGUGUGAGGGUGGCUUUGAGCCGUCCUGGUGCCGAAGGGAAGCUGUUAAGUCCGCCGCCUGGGAAGUACGGUCGCAAGACUGAAACUUAAAGGAAUUGGCGGGGGAGCACCACAACGCGUGGAGCCCUGCGGUUUAAUUGGAUUCAACGCCGGAGAUCUCACCAGCGGCGACAGCAGUAUGAUGACCAGGUUGAUGACUUUGUUUGACAAGCUGAGGGGUGGUGCAUGG
RNAcentral lists this ribosomal RNA (541 nucleotides) under uncultured archaeon. RNAcentral describes it as "bacterial SSU rRNA". It matches the Rfam family "Archaeal small subunit ribosomal RNA", at positions 457 to 997 of the family's 1478-position model. The record is from RNAcentral.